Molecule: small nuclear RNA, 104 nt
Organism: Phyllostomus discolor (pale spear-nosed bat)
Lineage: Eukaryota; Metazoa; Chordata; Mammalia; Chiroptera; Phyllostomidae
Source: RefSeq, a predicted model, not a curated record
GUGCUCACUUUAGCAGCACAUAUGAAAAAAUUGCAACAAUACAGAGAUCAGCAUGACCCCUGAGCUAGAAUGAAAUGCAAAUUCAUGAAGCAUUCCACAUUAAA